UACAGAGGUCCCAAGCGUUGUUCGGAUUCAUUGGGCGUAAAGGGUGCGUAGGUGGCGCCGUAAGUCGGGUGUGAAAUUUCGGAGCUUAACUCCGAAACUGCAUUCGAUACUGCGGUGCUUGAGGACUGGAGAGGAGGCUGGAAUUCAUGGUGUAGCAGUGAAAUGCGUAGAGAUCAUGAGGAAGACCAGUGGCGAAGGCGGGUCUCUGGACAGUUCCUGACACUGAGGCACGAAGGCCAGGGGAGCAAACGGG
RNAcentral lists this ribosomal RNA (253 nucleotides) under uncultured bacterium. Its description in RNAcentral is "partial 16S ribosomal RNA". It matches the Rfam family "Bacterial small subunit ribosomal RNA", at positions 524 to 776 of the family's 1533-position model. The record is from RNAcentral.